Molecule: long non-coding RNA, 1353 nt
Filed under: Equus asinus (donkey)
Lineage: Eukaryota; Metazoa; Chordata; Mammalia; Perissodactyla; Equidae
Description: lncRNA (ENSEASG00005032735.1)
Source: RNAcentral
GCACGAUCUCCUGCGCCCCUGGAACUGUGGACGGUCUCCUGCGCCCCUGGACUGGUGCACGAUUUCCUGCACCCCUGGACAGGUGCAUGGUCCUCGCCUCUCGGCCCCUGUUCCCCGAAACGCACCGACCUGCUCCACUUGGAGUGUUCGGCAGAUGAAGGGUCCUCGAUCCCUGGGCACGGGGGCGCCCGCCAAGGUGCUGGGGUGACGACUUGUUGACCCUGUGACUCCAACUCCAAGCCCUGUCGAGCAGAGGCGAUUACAAUGUCACAGCAAAGCACCAUGGGCAAGAAGAAACGUUAUCCUGAAAGCAACCCUGGACUCUCCGGAAAAAAGGAAAAGCCACCAGAAUUGUCGCUGGAGUGUCUUCCUGCCAGGGUGCCAAGAAGAAAUCAGUUUGGAAGAAGACAGAUAGCUCCUCUUGGCUCCAUAGAAAGAAACCUGCCCAAAUUUCCUUUUUUCUUUUUUUUUUUUACGUGCCUACACACAAAUCCCCAAUUUAUAAGCCGUUAAAGAUGACCCUUCUACCCCCAAAUUUCUUUUUUCUUCGUAGACAUGCGCUUUUUGGAGAUUUAUUUUGCUGGUAAUCUCCGCGGUGAAUAGGCAGGCCAAAAAGAGAGAGACAGCAAGACGACCCCUCACACACCAACCGCCUCUCAAAUCCGAGAAACCGCGGAGGCGCCUGUUGAAGCGAGCUCGAAGUUCAUCACAAGAGCACUUUAUUUUUAUAGUUUUAAUCAAUAUCUAUAUUUCGUGAACUUUAACAUUUUCUUAAUUGUGCAAUAUUUCAAACCUACCAAAAACAAGGCAAACACCCGUGUGACGCUCUUGCUCCAACCCUUCUUUUUAAGCAAGCAUUACAGAGGUAGCGAAAACCCCAUCUGCCGGCCCUUCUCCCUCUGCCCCUCUCCAAAGGGAACAAUUCUGAAGUUGGUGUGAAUCCUGCUUAAUCAUGGUCUUAAAUGUCAGGACAUAUGUGUAUGUCCAUAAAUGUUUUAAUGUAGCCUUUCCCUCUGAGUCUUUUUUUUACACCAUUAAUCAGAGAAAAAUCACUAACUAAAACCAAGAAAAUAUUCUUGUUACAUUGCUAAGUGUUUAGAAGGUCAAAAGGAUUUCUGCCUGCUUGUGGCAAUCGGAGGGAAUAAUAACAAAGGGAUUAGACAGCGGGUAGUAAACAGCCUCUAGGUUACAAACCCUUCCAUGGUUACCAGUCAAUAGGAAAACAAAGCCAAUAAUACCCCCCUCCUUCACUGGGUACAAGCGAAUUGGAGGAAAUGGAAUCUAGGUUAACACUUCUUUGGGCAUGUAAAAUAAAAGCCCUAUAUGGUAGCAAAUACCUUUUUUGAAUGGUCU